AUUGAACGCUGGCGGCAUGCCUAACACAUGCAAGUCGAACGAUAACAUGGAGCAGCUUGCCGUUUCGCUGACGAGUGGCGGACGGGUGAGUCAUGUCUGUGAAACUACUUGAUGAAGGGGGUUAACUACUGGAAACGGUACCUAAUACCGCAUAUCUUUGCAAGACCAAAGUGCGGGAGUUUCAGGCCUUUUUCCAUCGGCUGAGCGCAGAUGCGAUUAGCUAUUAGGUGGUGUAACGGCUUACCUAGUCGACGAUCCCUAGCUGGUCUGAGAGGGUGACCAGCCACACUGGAACUGAGACACGGUCCAGACUCCUACGGGAGGCAGCAGUGGGGAAUCUUGCGCAAUGGGCGAAAGCCUGAUGCAGCAAUGCCGCGUGUAUGAAGAAGGACUUCGGGUUGUAAAGUACUGUAAGCGGGGAGGAAGGAAGGAAAUUUUAUCCCUUUGCUUAUUGACGGUACCCGAAGAAAAAGCCCCGGCUAACUCCGUG
RNAcentral lists this ribosomal RNA (490 nucleotides) under uncultured bacterium. RNAcentral describes it as "partial 16S ribosomal RNA". It matches the Rfam family "Bacterial small subunit ribosomal RNA", at positions 30 to 507 of the family's 1533-position model. The record is from RNAcentral.